This 266-nucleotide unclassified non-coding RNA is filed under the name fungal sp. Its description in RNAcentral is "partial internal transcribed spacer region". Lineage: Eukaryota; Fungi. The record is from RNAcentral.
AAGUCAUAACAAGGUUUCUAUAGGUGAACUUGCAGAAGGAUUAUUAAAAAAAUAUACCUAGUAAAAGUGUGAAAACGCUAGAUCCAGUGCUAUAUACAAUCACUUGUUUACCUUUACCUAUUGUUUCCAUGAAAUUAUGGGUACUUUUCCUGUUUGCAAGCUUGAAUUACCUUUUAUAGAUAUAUUUAAAAAAUUGUUUUGUAUUAUUGUCUGAUUUAAAAUUUUAAUAAAAGUUAAAACUUUUAAUAAUAGAUCUCUAGGUUUUC